This 75-nucleotide transfer RNA is filed under the name Enterobacteriaceae bacterium 89. Its description in RNAcentral is "tRNA-Gln". It matches the Rfam family "tRNA". Rfam says of the family: Transfer RNA (tRNA) molecules are approximately 80 nucleotides in length. Their secondary structure includes four short double-helical elements and three loops (D, anti-codon, and T loops). The record is from RNAcentral. Lineage: Bacteria; Pseudomonadati; Pseudomonadota; Gammaproteobacteria; Enterobacterales; Enterobacteriaceae. RNAcentral also lists the same sequence under 1 other name.
UGGAGUGUCGCCAAGCGGUAAGGCUCUGGUUUCUGAUACCAGCAUACCGGGGUUCGAAUCCCUGCACUCCAGCCA